Molecule: ribosomal RNA, 274 nt
Filed under: uncultured bacterium
Lineage: Bacteria
Description: partial 16S ribosomal RNA
Rfam family: Bacterial small subunit ribosomal RNA
Source: RNAcentral
AUACGUACCGUACAAACGUUAUUCGGAAUCACUGGGCUUAAAGGGUGCGUAGGCGGCGUGGUCAGUUGGGUGUGAAAUCCCUCGGCUCAACCGAGGAACUGCGCCCAAUACUGCCACACUCGAGGGAGACAGAGGUAAGCGGAACUGAUGGUGGAGCGGUGAAAUGCGUUGAUAUCAUCAGGAACACCAGUGGCGAAAGCGGCUUACUGGGUCUCUUCUGACGCUGAGGUACGAAAGCUAGGGUAGCGAACGGGAUUAGAAACCCCGGUAGUCC